GACGAACGCUGGCGGCGUGCUUAACACAUGCAAGUCGAGCGGUAAGGCCCUUCGGGGUACACGAGCGGCGAACGGGUGAGUAACACGUGGGUGACCUGCCCCCAACUCUGGGAUAAGCCCGGGAAACUGGGUCUAAUACCGGAUAUGACCUCGGAUCGCAUGGUCUUGGGUGGAAAGUUUUUCGGUUGGGGAUGGGCCCGCGGCCUAUCAGCUUGUUGGUGGGGUGAUGGCCUACCAAGGCGACGACGGGUAGCCGGCCUGAGAGGGCGACCGGCCACACUGGGACUGAGACACGGCCCAGACUCCUACGGGAGGCAGCAGUGGGGAAUAUUGCGCAAUGGGCGAAAGCCUGACGCAGCGACGCCGCGUGGGGGAUGACGGCCUUCGGGUUGUAAACCUCUUUCGACCUCGACGAAGCGAGAGUGACGGUAGGGGUAGAAGAAGCACCGGCCAACUACGUGCCAGCCGCCGCAGUAAUAC
RNAcentral lists this ribosomal RNA (480 nucleotides) under uncultured bacterium. RNAcentral describes it as "bacterial SSU rRNA". It matches the Rfam family "Bacterial small subunit ribosomal RNA", at positions 28 to 526 of the family's 1533-position model. The record is from RNAcentral.